This 1258-nucleotide long non-coding RNA is filed under the name Lepidothrix coronata (blue-crowned manakin). RNAcentral's name for it is "lncRNA (ENSLCOG00000006289.1)". Lineage: Eukaryota; Metazoa; Chordata; Aves; Passeriformes; Pipridae. The record is from RNAcentral.
CCAAACCGAGGAAGGUGAAGGCCAGGGAAGCAGAAAUCGCACACACCUUUGAGGAGGGACUCGGUGGCUCAGGACAGGGAGCCUUGGCCUCAUUCAAAAGAACUGCCUUUGGAGACAUUUAGAAGAACAAUACCCAAGAAAUCUUUGUGUAAAGAGCAGACCAGGCAGCUGAAGAGACGCCACAGGAUUUCAGAGGAUCACCACAUCUUUGCAAGUCCUUCAGCUGAACAAGCCCACCUUUUGAACAGUUGAAUCCAGGCUUGAUACAUCAACCAAACUUCAGAGGAGUUGUUCUUGCCUCACACCAAUGUUGAGACGAAAGAGAAGCAAGUUAUUCAUGUUUUAAUGUUGUUUUGUGCCAGAUGUUUUGCUGGUAGAAAUCCAUAGCUCCACAGGCACCCAUUUCUUCAGGAUCUGGAAUGUCUGACACAAUUUCUGUCUCCAUUCUGGACGGUCUGUGAAGGAAGCUGCUUUAUUUUGCAAUAUUGAAUAUUCAUGCUGGGAAGUUAUAAGGAAAAACAAAAUAAUGAGAGACAGGGUCUCUAAUAAGCUUCCUGUCACAUGAGGCUCUGGUUCUGGUGAAGCAGAUGUGGUUGCUGACUUGUUUCCAAAAUGUUUGUGGAGUGGUGAUUAGAUUCUGUCAUACUGAUGUUAUAUCUCUGUGAUCUCAUUCAAUACAAGUAGUUCUGCAAACAGUGAAAUAUUUUUUUCCUACGGAUUUAUAUCUUGGAUUGUGUUUCUGCAUAAAUUCUCUGAUGUUUAAUGGGGAUUGAGUUCAUUUUAGCCUGUUUCUUCAAUGAGAGAUGAGUAAUCUGUCUUGACUUGGCUGCCUACUUUCACAAAACUUGCAGGAAUUAAAUAUCACAAGUAUUUAAAAUUCGAGUGGGAAUUAUGAACCAGUUCCAGAGUUAUUUGGAGCCAACUCAUAUAAACAAACAUAAACAUGAGUCUCAUUUUCUUUACAAAAGCAACAGGUAAGAAGCAAUCUUUUAUUACUUCGUCCUUCUAUUUUACCUGCUUGAUUCUAUUUUUUUAUUAGUGAUCAAUCAUAUAAGAUAUGCUUUAUUUAUAAAGCUGUGUGAAAUAUGAGACUUGUUUGCCACACUGAAUAGAUAUAAAACCAUCAUUAAUUUAUACUUAUUAUGGGCCACACAAGAGAUGACAUUGCUUUUUAUUGUCCUUGCCGGAGCAGGGGAAAGAGGUGACAUGGAUUUUAACUUACAUGUUUGCACAGGCAAGUGCAGAGAAAGAACAUUAU